This 499-nucleotide ribosomal RNA is filed under the name uncultured bacterium. RNAcentral describes it as "partial 16S ribosomal RNA". It matches the Rfam family "Bacterial small subunit ribosomal RNA", at positions 28 to 507 of the family's 1533-position model. The record is from RNAcentral.
GAUGAACGCUGGCGGCGUGCCUAAUACAUGCAAGUCGAGCGAACAGACGAGAGUGCUUGCACUCUCUGACGUUAGCGGCGGACGGGUGAGUAACACGUGGGUAACCUACCUAUAAGACUGGGAUAACUUCGGGAAACCGGAGCUAAUACCGGAUAAUAUUUAGCUUCGCAUGAAGCAAUAGUGAAAGACGGUUCUGCUGUCACUUAUAGAUGGACCCGCGGUGUAUUAGCUAGUUGGUGAGGUGACGGCUCACCAAGGCAACGAUACAUAGCCGACCUGAGAGGGUGAUCGGCCACACUGGGACUGAGACACGGCCCAGACUCCUACGGGAGGCAGCAGUAGGGAAUCUUCCGCAAUGGACGAAAGUCUGACGGAGCAAUGCCGCGUGAGUGAAGAAGGUUUUCGGAUCGUAAAACUCUGUUGUAAGGGAAGAACAAGUACGUUAGUAACUGAACGUACCUUGACGGUACCUUACCAGAAAGCCACGGCUAACUACGUG